This is a non-coding RNA of Fundulus heteroclitus (mummichog), 384 nucleotides long. NCBI's taxonomy places the organism in Eukaryota, Metazoa, Chordata, Actinopteri, Cyprinodontiformes, Fundulidae. The record is from the annotation of a RefSeq genome assembly.
AUGACUUUGAUCUGCGUCCUCAUCUGGACUCUCCUCUGCUGCUGCUUCACAGAGUCCAGAGGUCAGGUCACAGUGACUCAGCCUGCAGCAGUGACAGCUGAUCUGGGAGGAUCUGCCACCAUCAUCUGUAGGACCAGUCAGAAUGUUCAUGUUUCCAGCAACUACCACCUUUUAGCCUGGUACCAACAGAAAGAUGGACAAACUCCUAAGCUGCUCAUUUAUCUUGCCAGCACUCGAGCAUCAGGGACUCCAAGUCGUUUUACAGGCAGUGGAUCAAACUCUGACUUCACUCUGACCAUCAGUGGAGUUCAGGCUGAAGAUGCUGCAGUUUAUUACUGUCAGAGUGUUCACUAUAUUAGCAGCCAGUAUGUGUUCACACAGUGA